Molecule: long non-coding RNA, 8269 nt
Organism: Acinonyx jubatus (cheetah)
Lineage: Eukaryota; Metazoa; Chordata; Mammalia; Carnivora; Felidae
Exons: 2
Source: RefSeq, a predicted model, not a curated record
GGGGCAGAGAGGGAGACACAGAGUCCGAAGCAGCCUCUAGCCUCUGAGCUGUCAGCACAGAGCCCGAUGCGGGGCUUGAACUCACGGACUGCGAUAUCAUGACCUGAGCUGAAGUUGGACGCUCAACCGACUGAGCCACCCAGGUGCCCCUGGUAUUUUUGAUUUCUGUCUUCAGUUACUUAUUCCAUGUUUCUUUGAGUUCAGCCAGAACAUCAGUGGAUUAGUCUUAUAGUAGGUGGAAUGGUCUAAACCUUCAUUGCCAUCUGAGCUACUGGUGGUCUGUUUAUUAUCACAGAAAUCUUCCAUUAACUCCUACUAUAUUUAGUAUUACCACAGGGUUCCAUCCAUACUUCUCCCAUCCUUUAUCAUGCAGCAGCAAGACUGUUCACUCAGCCAACACUCUAACCCUCCCACACCUUCCAAACCACUGGAAUCAUCACUGUGUUCCUCUUGUAUUUCUCCUUUGCUCGCCUCUCAAUCAGCAAAGCCCAGAAUCACAGGGAAUGGAGGCAGAGAUUUUGGGUCACUGAGGUAUUAACAGAGGAGUGCUAUCCACCUUCCUCUUUAGUUCCCAGACCCUUGCUUAUAUAGAGGCCAUGGUCAUGGAUUCACAGCAUAUAACAACUGUACUGUAUUCCAACCUCACAAAUUGCGGUCUCCUUGGAAGGCCAGCUGAUUCAGGGUGCUGGGUGUUUAUGUUGAAUAUAGUGAAUUCUGCUGGUAUAGCCUACCAUCUUCCUCUUCAAUGUGAAGAAAAUUUUGUGAUCAGAAAGCAAGUGUCCAAUGGGAUAACUUAACAACAUAAAAACAUGUGAGUGAGUCCUUGAAAGAUGGUAUUGGCAGACGUUUGGAGGACAAAGCAAACCCAAUUCCAGAAUGUGCCCCUCCAGGGAGGGCAAAUUGCUGCUUCUUCCCCUCUGCUCAUUCUAAGAAAUCUGACCAUACUUUUCCCGCAGACCUCCUCACUGCCAGUGCUCUAGUCCUGCUCUCACAAAUCUCUGAUCACCAGGUUAUUAGCCACAGACUAUGGAUUAGCAUGGAUUUUUAUAUCAGUCGUCUCUACCUCCUGCCACAAUGGAAGAGACAUGUUGCUCCAAAAUUCUGCUGCCUUGGAGGGUUUUCUGUGUCCACUGGUCAUCAGGGCUAGUAUAGUAACAGUGCCUUCACUUAGACGGGUAGGUCACAGUGGAGUUCUGGGUCUCCAGGAGUUAACAUUAGCACAGGCCCAGUGUCUCUGAUAAUCCCCAGAAUGUCUGGUUAUUUCUCAGGAUACCUGGACAAUGGUCUGGUGAGUGGCUUCAGGUCCUUUGGGGAAAACUUGGAGGAAGCAAGAUCCAUAGCAAGUACUUAUGAUGCUAUUUCAGGGCCCUUUCCCUAGACACCUGGCUUCCUCUUUCUUUGACCUAGACCUGAGACUGGGUCAGGUGCCAUGAGUAUGUUGUGACGACUCCAAUCAGACCUUUGUUUAUUAAGUGGAAGAUUUUUAAAUUCUAAAAAUCAAAUAGGAUCUUUGACCAUCUAUUUUGGUCUUCAGGACCCCACAAUUAGUUGGGCAGCACCAAAGAACCCUGCGGGUCAGACCCUUGUAAUAAAUGCACUGUCUUCUGGUUAUGGUAGCCACAUCCACCUGGCUUCACACAUUGCAGCUACCUGGUCUCUGCUAUCCCAGGAUCCACUCAUCCCCACUGAAACCAGAAAGCCCAUUUGUACUGCAAUGUCUCCCUAUCAAUUGCAUCUCCCACCAGUUGUCACAGUUUCUACGGACAGAGUCACUCAACAAUCUUUCCAGCACUCUCUCCCUUGCCUUCCUAUGCUCCUUGGCAAGUGAAUUACUGAGUCACGUGAUUUCCAUUACAGCCACACAUGGCUAUGUGACAUAGUUCUAGAUAGCACAAGGAAGUAGAAAUCCCUGGGACAGGCUUUCUUCCUGAAAUGAGGGCACAACCUUUCGAGAUGCAGCAACCAUCUUCAAACAUGAAGGUGAGAACCAUGGGUGACUGAGGCAGUGCAAGAACACAAGGAGCCUGUUUCCCUGAGAGCACCACUGAGGUGACCUACUAGCCCUAGAUGUCCUAUGCCCAGAUUUUUUUAUAUGCCAGAGACAGAUAAACCUCUUGAUUACUUCUCUGAGUAGGGUACCUAUUACAACCAAGAUCAAUCCUAACAAAUACACCAGUGUAUUUCUAAGGCCUUGUUGAGGGAGUAUUUUCUGACACCCCCUCUAUCUUGGGGGACAUGGUUGGGUAGUGGUAAGUUGGUGAGUUAGACAUGAUUCAUUCACUCAACAUGUCUAUCUCACAGUCUUUGAAUUUCUUCCUUUAUGUUACACAAAGGUAUUUCAGCCAUCUCAGUGAGGUAGGAGGGCUAAAAGGACUCCACUUAUUUUUAUUUAUUACUUUUUCAAAGAAAGUUUUGGUUUAUUAUGUAUUGGAGAGAAAGAGCAUGUGCGCACAUGAGCAGGAGAGAGGGGAAAACGGAAACAAACAGGCUCCACACUCAGCACAGAGCCCUACUCGGGGCUCUAUCCCAUGACCAUGAGAUCAUGACCUGAGCCAAAAUCAAGUCAGAGGCUUAACUGAGCUACCCAGGUGGGUAGCUACCCAGGUGGGACCCCUAAAGGGUUCCAUUUUAUAAAGGCUCCAUCCCUGCUGUUUUUCUGCUAGGCCUCAUUUACUUGUAUUCCAUAUUUUGCCUCUGAAGAAGCCCAAGCAGCCAUGUUCUCACUUCAAGGAGGAAGCAAGAAAGUUAAUCCUUUCCUGAGUUUUGUCCUAGGCCCCCAAACACCUGAUGACAUCUAAGAAGAUCCAGAUCCCAAGCAUGUUUUAGGACAUUAGCUUCAAACAAAUCUUAGGUUACACUGGCAUCAAAACCCCUUACCUUCGGUAAUUUAUGGAAUAACACCUAUAGUUCACCUGACACGCACCUUUGGUCGGAUCCUACCCUGGAUUCCCCGGGGGAACAUGUACCUUAGAUUUCCUCCCUUCCAAUAUAAACCCCUAACCCCAAGUGACAGACAUUCUUUCCUUUCUGAGUCUCCCAGACCUCCAUCUGCUACUCUCUACCUGUCACACCACUCAAUAAACUCUGUUUUCACUUUCUCUGGCUCACGUUUGAUUUCUAUCCUGCACAAAGCCAAGGACCCUCCUCUGGGUCCUUGGACCUGGCUUACCCGCAUCAUAUUUUGAUGACAUGAAGGAACCCUUAGAGGAACAACGGUACCCCAAACUACAUCUGUGUAGUACAAUUUGACCUCCUCACCAUGCAGGGGUACUGGUAUGUUCCUCCUCUGGGAAACAGAGUUGGAAAGUACAGGGUUACUUCCUAUCUCUGUACUUUUUCUGUGAACUGGACUGUUCUCUGGGAAGAAGGAAAUGUGGAAAAACAUGUCUGGGGACCUGUUCUCACUCUCUCCUCUCCUGGUGCUCUGACACCACCUCCGGGGAUCCCAAGACAGAGCAGGAUCUCAUGGUGGUGCACCAGGGCUCACUGGUGCAUUUCCCCGGGCUAGUAACUCAGAUGACCACAGGAGGUUCCUCCUGCUCUCUGUGUGCUCUGCUGGCUCCAAGUUUUACUUUCACCACAAACUCUUUCCACUCUGGCUUCUGGACAAUUUCAAGGUUGUUGGUUGGCAUAAGAGACUGAGUCACUAGCUCUGAAGAAAUGGGACUCUUGCUUCUUUUCCCCGAAGGGAACAGUCCUAUAGGGAACUCUCUCUCGUGGCAACUAAUUUCUGGCUCGGCCAGGAAUGCACAUGGAAGGAUUGAUCAUCCAGUGCUGUGACAAACCCCUACAGCAGUUUUAGACUGCUGCUUGGGAGAAACCAAGACACAUCAAAGAGGAAGAUCAUUUCCUUGGUGACUAUCUGAGAAGUUGUCCCCGUAAGUAGCCCAUUCCACCCACCACUUUGUUCCCCUAGAAUAGACUCCUAACUGUCUCUCUACUUUUUUGUCCACUGUCAGGUGACUGUGUCAUUGCAGUUCUGGUACAUCAAGAUUGAAUUGAGGCAAUUCCAGGACAGUAGAACUGCCUUAAAGAUUGUUGGACAAUCCUGUUGUUGGACCAAAGGAUGGUCCUGCCGCCCAGUUGUGCUGGGUUAUUGGAUGAUGGUAGAGGAGACACACGGUGGGCUGGAAAUGUGGCAGGGUCCACUGGGGCCUUUGCCUGUCGGGGGGGGCCACACAGUCUCUACCAAACAACCUCCCUCCAGUGGAAUCGCCUCUCCCCAUGUGGCUCAAGGACCCCUGGAUUCACUCUGCUCCUGGGGAUUUGCCCUUCUCACCAGAGCACUGUCAGGUAUUGACUUGCGGUGUUUCAGACUCUACGCUCCCCCUGUUUAUAGAGUCUUAAUGGAAUUUAAAUGCUCUCUUUUCUCCCCUUUUAGUUCAGUCCUUGUGGCUGUUUUCACUUUUCCACUUUCCAGGUGCUUUUGGCGGGGGUGGGGGUGGGGGAGGGCUUUCCCAUACUAUCCCCCAUCUUUGUCCUCUCUUUGCAAGCAAAAACAGCUCCCUGCCCUCCAUGGCUUCUCUUUCCUGUUCACCUCUCUGCGCCUCAUACCUGCUGAGUUCUGUGGUUCAGGUUGUGUAGAUUGUUGUGUUAAUACGCCAAUCAGUUUUCUAGGUGUGCAGGAUGGUUUAGCAUUGAUCUGGCUGCAUUUCAUGGCUAAGAGACACACACAAAAAAACCUUCCAUGUUGUUCUGCCAUCUUGGCUCCUCCCCUUGGUUUUUAAUUUUUUUUUAAGUUUAUUUUAUUUUUUUGACAGAGGGUAUGUGCACAUGGGAGGGGCAGAGAGAGAAGGAGAGAGAGAAUUCCAAGCAGGAUCCUCGCUGUCAGCACGGGGCCUGACUUGGGGUACGAUCCCACACACUGGGAGAUCAUAACCUGAGCCAAAAUCAAGAGUUGGAUGCUCAAUUGACUGAGUCAUCCAGGCACCCUGGUUUUAAUUUUGUAUACACAUUUUACUGACAGAUAGAAAUUUAAAAAUUUUGGGGGGUACCUGGCUAGCUCAGUCUGUAGAGUCUGUUGAGGAAGAACGUGAAAAUUCAAUCUUUAUUUUAAAAGAUACUACACAAGUAUUUACCCAUUUAUAAACACAUGGUAUUUAUUGUUUUUUCAAUAUUUCCUAAUUUUAUUAAUUAAUUUUUAAAAGAUUUUAAGGAAUCUCUACACCCAACAUGAGGCUUGAACUUACAACCCCAGGACCAAGAGUACCAUGCUCCCCUGACUGAACCGCCAGGCCACCCCAUUAUUUUUACAUUUUAAUAAGUAUCUUACAUGAAGUAUUUCUUUUCCCAAGUAGCCAUUCUUUGAAAUUGUCCUAAAAUCAAGUAUAUGUUGAUCAAUCUGUUGCUCCAAAUUAAGAGUAUAACCUUGGUGUUUUAUAUUUAUACCAUUAGAAAGCCCCACAUUUAAAUGUUUAAAUGAAAUAAAUCCAAAGUGAAUACAAUAUGAAAAAUACAUUUUAAUCCAAAAGUUUGAAUAUUGGCACUUAGCUAUUUACAAUAGUAUUUACAACAAAUUUUACUGUAACUUUUGUAGAGAUAACUAUGUACAUAGAGCUAUCUACAGUUGCUUGCUUCUAACAUACAAACCAUCACUGUGUAGAAAAAUGUGAACAGGUAAAACUCAACAACUCAAAAUCACUACGAUUAAAUAAGAGUUGUUUUGCUACAACUCAAAAUCACUACGAUUAAAUAAGAUUCUGACAAAUUUUCCUGGAGUUGAAAAAUGCUGGUUAAGUCACGACAGAAUUGGAGGCACGAGUGUAUGGUCCCCACUUCUUCCCAUUUUCACAUUGUUGUCUCCUUACUUAGCUGACCUGCAUUUGAAGUAAAACUUACACCUGAAUUCUGGACAAUUUCAUAGAAAACAGGGCUUUUAAGUCUAAGACUUUGUUUUAGUCCUGUUACUAUGACUCUAUAGCAGAUGGUAGACUUUUUGAAGAUAUUAAAUGCUUAUGGCCCAUUAAUCAUUUUUAUGACUGCCAAAAGGUUGUUCUAAUGGUAGUCAAGAAACUACCAAGUGGGAUGCCUGAACACUAGGUGUCUCCUAUGUGCUUUUCAUGAAGUUCAGUCUGCUCUACAAAAUUUUAUUGUUUGAUUGGAAACCUCAGUUUGAGAAAGGGAGGUAAAUACAAUGAAGAAUGAGCAGCUCUGUUAAGAUCAACAAAAUAAUUCUGAAUCUCUUUGCUGCAGAAUAAAGUUUUAAAAAGCCCAGUCUAAUACAAUCAUCCACCUAUCAGUUUCUUUAAGGUUUAAGUGGCCAAGAGUCUACCUAACAUUUUCUAGAUGAGAAAAUAAAGCUUGUGUAACUUUGUGAUAGAUACAGUUGGUCAUAGCUAUAUUUUAUUUAAGUCCUUAGUCAGAAAUCUAAACCUUAAUUACCAUUUUGUUCUUGUAGAAAAAUACAAUCCAUUUAGAGAAUACAAUCCAUGGAGAAAAAUAGAUACCACCUGUUCCUAAUGGUCUCCCUGGAAAUUAUAGCCUUUGCCUGUAAUUUAAUUCCUUGUUAUCCCUUUUCACUUUCCAAGUGACUAGUAAUAAAUAAGCUACUGGUUACUGGGUAGUAGGGAAAAACUUCUUAGUCUUCUUUCCAUCUAGGAAUUUCAUGAAAGAAAUAUGUGGCAAGUCUUAGAGUACUAUGAAUCCAAGAUAACUGGAAAUAAGUUUUACUUUCUAAACUACAAAUGGUUGGCAACUGUUUCCUUAAUAGUGAUUGCAGGAGUAGGUCCAACAUGAGUCCAUAUAUAGCCCUUCUCUGGUCUGGUUGGAACCGUGGGAAAUGGUGAUGAACGUGACUUGAAAUAUUCAGAAGGUGCGUGACACACAAAUUCCAAGUAUUCCAUCUUCCUUGGAAGAUCCUCCUCUGGUCCUAAAAGGCAGUCAGUGGAAAGAUUAAAUAUCUUUUGAACAUAUAUGUCAUUUUCACAAAGGGUUAAAAUUCCUAAAUGGUAGGACAAACCACUCUGGUGACCUGACAUUAGUCCUUGACACAUGUAUUACUCUGAAGUCACUCUCCCCUACUUUUUCUACUUUACCUGUUUAACUCCCCCAAACAGUGACUCAAUAUAGGAAGGACUCUAAAAAUAUUAGCACACCAGUGUUUAUUAUUAUGUGCCCAUACUGUUCUAAGUACUGCACAUACACGGAUACUUUGAGUCCUCACAACUUUGCUUGGAGGAAGGCACUAUUAUUAUUCCUGUUCUAUGUAUCAGGAAAAUGAGGCAAGAGAGAUUAAGGAACUUGCUCAGGGCCACACAACUAGUAAGUGCUUGGCUAUGAACCCAGACAGUCUGGCGCCAGCACCUGUGUUCUGAAUCUCUAUGCCAUACUUCCCACUCUAGUAUCUGAGGAUUAGAGGAGGACGUGGGAGAGGAGCCCCAGAGGUGAUUCUUCACAUCACCGCCUCUGCUGAGAACCCAGUCCUAGAAGUCAGGGAGAUGAAAGUCCACUCUUCUAUGUACCUACAAGCAGAAGACUUAGAACUGAUUGUGUAUCAAGCUUCACCCAUAGGUGAGAAUAACAGCAGCAGUUAUUUGUCCCUGAGUUCCCUCUGGAAAAAACGAAAAACCCUUCGUAUGAAAAGUAAUGCAAGUUCACUGCAGAAAGGUUGAAAAUAUGGGGUAAUUUAAAAACUCUGAACACGUUUUAAACUGUAUUAAUCAGCAACUUCUUCCUGCAAGUCUAUGAGAAACAUUUAUACCACUUCUUUUGUCAGCUUUGAAAUGCAUAAAAGUACAGUGGCUGCCAUUCCAACUGUACACAAUGACAUGUUAUAAACGUCUAGGAUGAAUAUGUGUGACUUGUGGAGGGAUACAUAAUGAAAAUUUGUUAAGAUGCCAGAAAUAAUAGGGACGGUUGCUUUUCAAAUUAUUUUUAACUAGAUUUUUAUAAGUCAAUAUGCCUAAAUAAGCCUAACUCCUGAGCAAUAAAUUCUUUUAAUAGAGUUUAACCUGGGUCGCUCAGAAAAAUCUUAUCCACAUCACUUGUUAGUAGGUAUGUAUUGCCCCAACUGAAAAACUGAAUGCACUCAAACCCCAACUAUAUAAAAUAUCUUUCAUAUUUUCUAUAAAGUUCUUUCCUUUUUAACAUUUAAUGAUGCUUAUGUUUCUUUGCCAUGGACUGAGUUAUAGUCCCACAAAUUCAUAUGUUGAGGUCCUAACCCCUGAAGUGAUGGUGUUUAGAGAUGUGCCUUUAGGGAGAUAAUUAAGGUUAAAUGAGGUUAUAGGUGGAAAUGCAAGCUGGUGCAGCCACUCUGGAAAACAGUAUGGAG